AAAGAUUUAGUUAAUAUUUAUAAUAUCGGAAUGUCAAACCUAAGUUAUCAGUUCAGAUAAUCUUUG
This 66-nucleotide transfer RNA is filed under the name Lepinotus reticulatus. RNAcentral's name for it is "tRNA-Asp". The record is from RNAcentral. Lineage: Eukaryota; Metazoa; Arthropoda; Insecta; Psocodea; Trogiidae.